AGCAGCCGCGGUAAUUCCAGCUCCAAUAGCGUAUAUUAAAGUUGUUGCAGUUAAAAAGCUCGUAGUUGAAUUUCGGGGUCAGUGAGUUGGUCGUGCCACUGGUAUGCACUGGCUUUACUGAUUCCUCCUUCUUGAAGAACUGUAAUGCUAUUAAUUUAGUGUUGCAGGGAAACAGGACUGUUACUUUGAAAAAAUUAGAGUGUUUAAAGCAAGCUAACGCUUGAAUACAUUAGCAUGGAAUAAUGAAAUAGGACGUUUGAUCCUAUUUUGUUGGUUUCUAGGAUUGACGUAAUGAUUAAUAGGGAUAGUUGGGGGCAUUAGUAUUCAAUUGUCAGAGGUGAAAUUCUUGGAUUUAUUGAAGACUGACUACUGCGAAAGCAUUUGCCAAGGAUGUUUUCAUUAAUCAAGAACGAAAGUUAGGGGAUCGAAGACGAUCAGAUACCGUCGUAG
RNAcentral lists this ribosomal RNA (450 nucleotides) under uncultured Glomeromycotina. RNAcentral's name for it is "SSU rRNA". It matches the Rfam family "Eukaryotic small subunit ribosomal RNA", at positions 569 to 1023 of the family's 1831-position model. Lineage: Eukaryota; Fungi; Glomeromycota. The record is from RNAcentral.